CCUACGGGAGGCUGCAGUGGGGAAUAUUGGACAAUGGGGGCAACCCUGAUCCAGCCAUGCCGCGUGUGUGAAGAAGGCCCUCGGGUUGUAAAGCACUUUCAGUGAGGAAGAACGCCUGGUGGUUAAUACCCAUCAGGAAAGACAUCACUCACAGAAGAAGCACCGGCUAACUCCGUGCCAGCAGCCGCGGUAAUACGGAGGGUGCGAGCGUUAAUCGGAAUUACUGGGCGUAAAGCGCGCGUAGGUGGCUUGAUAAGCCGGUUGUGAAAGCCCCGGGCUCAACCUGGGAACGGCAUCCGGAACUGUCAAGCUAGAGUGCAGGAGAGGAAGGUAGAAUUCCCGGUGUAGCGGUGAAAGGCGUAGAGAUCGGGAGGAAUACCAGUGGCGAAGGCGGCCUUCUGGACUGACACUGACACUGAGGUGCGAAAGCGUGGGUAGCAAACAGGAUUAGAUACCCCAGUAGUC
This 465-nucleotide ribosomal RNA is filed under the name Vreelandella stevensii. RNAcentral's name for it is "partial 16S ribosomal RNA". It matches the Rfam family "Bacterial small subunit ribosomal RNA", at positions 338 to 795 of the family's 1533-position model. Lineage: Bacteria; Pseudomonadati; Pseudomonadota; Gammaproteobacteria; Oceanospirillales; Halomonadaceae. The record is from RNAcentral.